RNAcentral lists this long non-coding RNA (663 nucleotides) under Homo sapiens (human). RNAcentral's name for it is "non-protein coding lnc-KRT2-1:1". Lineage: Eukaryota; Metazoa; Chordata; Mammalia; Primates; Hominidae. The record is from RNAcentral.
CGAAGCCAAGGCUAUGCUGAGCCAGGCGGUUAUAGCAGCUGGAGUCUCGUUAGCCCUGCGGGGAGAAAGAGCAUCUCCAUCAUCAUGGCUGGAGGCCGGGACCAUGGAGGCAGACAAAGGAGCUAUGGAGGUGGACAGUUUGGGGUGGGAAGCCUAGCAAGGAGGGCUUUGGUCUUGACAGUGGUUUUGGGGAGCAUGGGUCUGUAGGUUCUCUGGUCUGCCCUGGAGGCAUCCAGGAAGUUGUGAUAAACCAAAGCUUGUUGGAGUCUCUGGAUGUGAUGAUUGACACUGAGGUCUAGGAGGUAAAGUAGUAGGAGCAGGAGCAGAUCAAGAAACUCAACAAGUUUUCCUUCUUCAUUGACAAAGUACAGUUCCUGGAGCAGCAGAACCAGGUGUUGCAAACCAACUGGGAGCUGCUGUGGCAGCUGGAUGGCAGCUGGAUGGCAGCUAGAUGGCAGCUACUGCUGCACCACUAGCCCAGAGCUCAUCUUCGAGGGCUACAUCAGCAACCUCAGGAAGCAGGUGGCCCAGGUCAUGGCAGAGAAAACCAGGCAGGAAGUAGAGCUCAAGAACACUCAGGACUCGAUGGAGAAAUACAAGAGGAAAUAUGAAGCAGAAAUCAACAACUGGACAAAUGCUGAAAAUGACUUUGUGGUGCUGAGA